This 91-nucleotide microRNA precursor is filed under the name Paramuricea clavata. The record is from RNAcentral. Lineage: Eukaryota; Metazoa; Cnidaria; Anthozoa; Malacalcyonacea; Plexauridae.
GUCGUAGUUUCAAAGCAGCGUAAAGAGCCAUGAACGGACUAUGACUUUCAUAGUCCGUUCAUGGCUCUUUACGCUGCUUUGAAACUACGAC